AUAUUGCUCAAUGGGUGAAACCCUGAUCCAGCCAUGCCGCGUGUGUGAAGAAUGUCUUCGUAUUGUAAAGCACUUUAAGUUGGGUGGAAGGUGUUGAAGCUAAUACUUUCAAUCUUCGACGUGACCAACAGAAUAAGCAUCGGCUAACUCUGUGCCAGCAUCCGCGGUAAUACAAAGUUUUCAAGCGUUAACCGGAAUUACUUGGCGUAAAGCGCGCGUAGGUGGUUCAGUAAGAUGGAAGUGAAAUCCCCGGGCUUAACCAGGGAACUGCUUUCAUAACUGCUGAGCUAGAGUACGGUAGAGGGUAGUGGAAUUUCCUGUGUAGCGGUGAAAUGCGUAGAUAUAGGAAGGAACACCAGUGGCGAAGGCGACUACCUGGACUGAUACUGACACUGAGGUGCGAAAGCGUGGGGAGCAAAC
This 420-nucleotide ribosomal RNA is filed under the name uncultured bacterium. Its description in RNAcentral is "partial 16S ribosomal RNA". It matches the Rfam family "Bacterial small subunit ribosomal RNA", at positions 361 to 773 of the family's 1533-position model. The record is from RNAcentral.